RNAcentral lists this ribosomal RNA (440 nucleotides) under uncultured bacterium. RNAcentral describes it as "partial 16S ribosomal RNA". It matches the Rfam family "Bacterial small subunit ribosomal RNA", at positions 338 to 795 of the family's 1533-position model. The record is from RNAcentral.
CCUACGGGGGGCAGCAGUGGGGGAUAUUGCACAAUGGGGGGAACCCUGAUGCAGCGACGCCGCGUGGGUGAAGAAGCGCCUCGGCGCGUAAAGCCCUGUCAGCAGGGAAGAAAAUGACGGUACCUGAAGAAGAAGCCCCGGCUAACUACGUGCCAGCAGCCGCGGUAAUACGUAGGGGGCAAGCGUUAUCCGGAUUUACUGGGUGUAAAGGGGGCGCAGACGGCGAUGCAAGCCAGAAGUGAAAGCCCGGGGCACAACCCCGGGACUGCUCUUGGAACUGCGUGGCUGGAGUGCAGGAGGGGCAGGCGGAAUUCCUGGUGUAGCGGUGAAAUGCAUAGAUAUCAGGAGGAACACCGGUGGCGAAGGCGGCCUGCUGGACUGCAACUGACGUUGAGGCCCGAAAGCGUGGGGAGCAAACAGGAUUAGAUACCCUAGUAGUC